RNAcentral lists this ribosomal RNA (644 nucleotides) under uncultured bacterium. RNAcentral's name for it is "bacterial SSU rRNA". It matches the Rfam family "Bacterial small subunit ribosomal RNA", at positions 232 to 885 of the family's 1533-position model. The record is from RNAcentral.
CGCGGCCUAUCAGCUUGUUGGUGGGGUAGUGGCUUACCAAGGCUUUGACGGGUAGCCGGCCUGAGAGGGCGACCGGCCACAUUGGGACUGAGAUACGGCCCAGACUCCUACGGGAGGCAGCAGUGGGGAAUAUUGCACAAUGGGCGGAAGCCUGAUGCAGCAACGCCGCGUGCGGGAUGACGGCCUUCGGGUUGUAAACCGCUUUCAGCAGGGGCGAAGCUUGUGGUGACGGUACCUGCAGAAGAAGCACCGGCUAACUACGUGCCAGCAGCCGCGGUGAUACGUAGGGUGCGAGCGUUGUCCGGAUUUAUUGGGCGUAAAGAGCUCGUAGGUGGUUGAUUGCGUCGGAAGUGAAAACUUGGGGCUUAACCCUGAGCGUGCUUUCGAUACGGGUUGACUUGAGGAAGGUAGGGGAGAAUGGAAUUCCUGGUGGAGCGGUGGAAUGCGCAGAUAUCAGGAGGAACACCAGUGGCGAAGGCGGUUCUCUGGACCUUUCCUGACGCUGAGGAGCGAAAGCGUGGGGAGCGAACAGGCUUAGAUACCCUGGUAGUCCACGCUGUAAACGGUGGGUACUAGGUGUGGGGUCCAUUCCACGGAUUCCGUGCCGUAGCUAACGCAUUAAGUACCCCGCCUGGGGAGUACGG